GAUGAACGCUGGCGGCGUGCUUAACACAUGCAAGUCGAACGGUGAAGGCGGAGCUUGCUCUGCUGGAUCAGUGGCGAACGGGUGAGUAACACGUGAGCAAUCUGCCCCUGACUCUGGGAUAAGCGCUGGAAACGGCGUCUAAUACUGGAUACGAGCUGCGAAGGCAUCUUCAGCAGCUGGAAAGAAUUUCGGUCAGGGAUGAGCUCGCGGCCUAUCAGCUUGUUGGUGAGGUAAUGGCUCACCAAGGCGUCGACGGGUAGCCGGCCUGAGAGGGUGACCGGCCACACUGGGACUGAGACACGGCCCAGACUCCUACGGGAGGCAGCAGUGGGGAAUAUUGCACAAUGGGCGAAAGCCUGAUGCAGCAACGCCGCGUGAGGGACGACGGCCUUCGGGUUGUAAACCUCUUUUAGCAGGGAAGAAGCGAAAGUGACGGUACCUGCAGAAAAAGCGCCGGCUAGCUACGUG
This 468-nucleotide ribosomal RNA is filed under the name uncultured bacterium. RNAcentral's name for it is "partial 16S ribosomal RNA". It matches the Rfam family "Bacterial small subunit ribosomal RNA", at positions 28 to 507 of the family's 1533-position model. The record is from RNAcentral.